RNAcentral lists this ribosomal RNA (3205 nucleotides) under Triticum aestivum (bread wheat). Its description in RNAcentral is "partial small subunit ribosomal RNA". The record is from RNAcentral. Lineage: Eukaryota; Viridiplantae; Streptophyta; Magnoliopsida; Poales; Poaceae.
CGCGCGCAGUUCAGCGUAGGUUGGCUUAGCAAAGCGAGGCAGGGCGAGGUAAAGCCCAGAGCUGGUCGGAGCACGCGUCCUAGGUCUAGGUUGAGGCGAAGCCCAAGCCCGAGCCAGCGAAGCCGUUCCUUUUUAUAACCGUCGCGCUGCUCUGCUGACCUCCGCGCUCCUUUCCUCUCGUUCUCUCUUCUUUCUCCUCCUCUCUUCUAUUUUCCUUUCUCCUAUUCCCCCUCCGCUGAGCUUGGGCGCCGCCGGUGGCGCGCGCGAGAGGUCUAGGCCGCGUUCAGGUCGAGCGACGGCGCGAGUGGUUCCCUCUUCCUGCGUAGCGAGGCCUUAGGGUUGGAUCCCAAGGGGCGCGGAGUCUAGGUCGGAGGUCGUCUAGACACGGUGGAGCGACCGCGGACCAUUGUACUGUGGUUGCCAGGAGUACCUCAAACGCGGCGUCUCCGUCUAAUUUGCCUCGAUACUACUUUACCGGAUGGCUCCACACGGGGCACCCAUACGUCUCUGACAACCGCUCAGUCCGUCGGGACAAGCACAGCUGAGCGUUCUAAGCAGACCCGGUUUUGCGUUCACGUAGUCGGAAUUGUCACUACCGAAACCACACUUCGCCCUCUAGAAACAGGGGAGAUUCUACAGUAGCAGACUCGCCGCCAUGGAAGCGGUCUCUAAGGCGAGUCUCGAACUAAGCCAGGCCCUAGAGGAAUUCUUCGGUCUCAAAAACCGGUAGUACGGACAGUCGUCUCGUGGACGCAUGAGUAGGAGACGACGGGGAGCUCGAUUUUUUCACUUUCGCCCCUCGGUACAAGAGGCACCACGGUUCCCCGCGAAGAACGGAUGUUUCGGGGCCGGACUUUGCAGAUACCACAACGGGCUUCGAUGCUAAGACGUCUACACACUUCCAUAAGACUUCUUCGAGUACUGAGUCUUUACAUCAGUAUAAAAAUUACAAGGCCAUCUACACCUUUUCGAGUUGUAAGGUCUAAUAUUACUGUAAUAGUUCGUGGGCUACCUGGAACCCUGGUAGUUCUUCUUCGAUCUAAGACCAAGGAUGUGUUCCGGUAGACUAAAACGUCGACUACAGUCCGACUGGAAAUCGUUACGCUAUUGAAUGUUAGGAGCUCCCGUACGUCACGUACUAUACCGGUAAGUUGACUUAUUUUACAAACUCAGAUCUACCUUCUGUCACCUCUUCUUCAACCGAAGACGACGUUGCUUCGGUGUACAACUCCAACUAUCCCGGCUGAGUUUCUCCUCUUUCUGGGGAGGACAACUGGCGUCACUGAACAGUUAACUCGCACAGUCCGGUUGACUCUAAUACUUCGGCUUCUACUGUAAACUCCUCUUUCUUAGGAAACCUUUGACGAAUCGAAGAAACAGGCUCCUCGGUCUUAAUAAUGGACCAGUGUAGUAACUAAACAAUGUCGUCACAUAACUGUUGUUGUGUCUAGUCGGACCCCUACCUCUCUAUCUCUAACUAUAGGUACGUGAGUCACUACUAUAUGAUAAUCUUGACUUCUUCGCACAGCUGUUUAUAAACGUUCUCUCUCUAUUGGUCGUCUUUUUCAGUCUCGGGAGACUCUUACUCCGACACUUGCAAGGACCGGAGUCAGUGAACAGGUGUUUAGGGACGUUUCCACCACUCGGAUAACUCCUCCUACACCUGUAAACGCCGUUACGUAGGGGAUAUAACUAUCUCUUCCUAGGAGUCUAGUCUUGAUUGUUUACACCAUCAGGUUCAUCAAGGUCGUCACUGAGCCCUAGAAGUAGGUCGCUAAGACUGAGCCCGUCACUGUGACUUUCGCUUAGACUUUUCCAAUGAUUUUAUGGUCUUGUUGGACGUCUCGUUCUUUUCUCACUACAAUAAUUGGGACAACUACGAUUGGUGUGACGGCCACUACACCUUGAGGCACUCGUCCUGUUACUCAGGUUCCGACGUAGACUCCCCCUCUUACGUUUUGGGCUGUCCGUUCAGAGGGGCCUGUUCGAGAAUGCUCGUCGAGAAAACUCCUCGGCAAUACGACUACAAUAACAAUUUCGAGCACCCUAAGAGUCGGUCCCACUCCCACCUCUAUUUGUCCUCCUCGACCUCUUUGACGUCUUCCUUCUUUUUCUUGCCGAAAACCGACUUCCAUUACGUCGGUACCUUCGAGCGUCUCGACUUCGGCUUCGACUUAGAUUCACAUUCGCCCUGGAACUCUCCCUUUUCCGAGCAGUCCGGAACGUCCUCUACCUCUCUUGACAUCUUUAAUUACUGUCGCAGGUAGGGUUCCUGGAUCUUUACGAACCAUGUUAGUGGUGCCUUGUAUAACAUUCAAGACAACUACUCUGCUCAGGACUCGUAAGGGUCCUACCGUACGGGUCAAAAGAAGGACCAAGACCGUCGUACAACCUUUUUGAACCUGAUAAAUACUUUCAUCUACUCCUUCUUCUCCUUCUACUCGGUACGUCAAAGGGAUCGUCGUUUCUACACCUCCUUCAUCUUUAGCUAAUUACAGAGAACUGUACAACCUCGGAAGAGUAGUUUCUGUCUUGUUAGCUACACAUACCCUUUUAACGACCCAUCGACACGUGUAUAGUCUGUAAAAAAGACUUUGCCACGUGACUUAAGGGAGUAGUUUAAACUACGGCGACCUCCACAACUUAGUACACGAACGUCCUACGUGCGGGAACCUUCCCUCCUAUCUCUAGCUCCGUUGGUACAAAAGGACGUGCCGGGACUUCCCUCCUAUCUCUAGCUCCGGUGGUACAAAAGGACGUGCCGGGAACCUUCCCUCCUAUCUCUAGCUCCGGUGGUACAUGUCGACGUUUACUUUUACACUCAAGUAGAGGGUUUACUUGAAACAGGGUCUUAGCUCUGCGCCACGACCCUCGACAACAGCCCACAUAAUUAGACUAUUUUCGGGACCUUUAUGUCCUCCUGGUUUACCAAGGCAGUGUGACGAGCGGAGGGUAGACGUGACACUAGGUUCACACAAAAGGGGAUCGCCGAUCAACAAACGAGUCGUAUCGAAGAGAAUAAUCAAAACCUACAAAACAACGAAGGACGACAUUUAAGUUUAAAACUACAUCAUGUCCUUCACGAAAUCAACAAACGACCCGUAAAACAUUGUCCUUUUUGCACACCUUUACAAUUUAGAUCAAGUUACAACACUUGAGGGAGGUGGAAGUUACGAGGUUACGAGCUUAAUUGUUAAAAAACUAC